This 497-nucleotide ribosomal RNA is filed under the name uncultured bacterium. RNAcentral's name for it is "partial 16S ribosomal RNA". It matches the Rfam family "Bacterial small subunit ribosomal RNA", at positions 28 to 507 of the family's 1533-position model. The record is from RNAcentral.
GAUGAACGCUGGCGGCGUGCCUAAUACAUGCAAGUCGAGCGAACAGACGAGGAGCUUGCUCCUCUGAUGUUAGCGGCGGACGGGUGAGUAACACGUGGAUAACCUACCUAUAAGACUGGGAUAACUUCGGGAAACCGGAGCUAAUACCGGAUAACAUGUUGAACCGCAUGGUUCAACAGUGAAAGACGGUCUUGCUGUCACUUAUAGAUGGAUCCGCGCCGCAUUAGCUAGUUGGUAAGGUAACGGCUUACCAAGGCAACGAUGCGUAGCCGACCUGAGAGGGUGAUCGGCCACCCUGGAACUGGGACACGGUCCAGACUCCUACGGGAGGCAGCAGUAGGGAAUCUUCCGCAAUGGGCGAAAGCCUGACGGAGCAACGCCGCGUGAGUGAAGAAGGUCUUCGGAUCGUAAAACUCUGUUAUUAGGGAAGAACAAAUGUGUAAGUAACUAUGCACGUCUUGACGGUACCUAAUCAGAAAGCCACGGCUAACUACGUG